Molecule: ribosomal RNA, 479 nt
Filed under: uncultured organism
Description: partial 16S ribosomal RNA
Rfam family: Bacterial small subunit ribosomal RNA
Source: RNAcentral
CGUACACUCCUACGGGAGGCAGCAGUGGGGAAUUUUGGACAAUGGGCGAAAGCCUGAUCCAGCCAUGCCGCGUGCAGGAUGAAGGCCUUCGGGUUGUAAACUGCUUUUGUACGGAACGAAACGGCCUUUUCUAAUAAAGAGGGCUAAUGACGGUACCGUAAGAAUAAGCACCGGCUAACUACGUGCCAGCAGCCGCGGUAAUACGUAGGGUGCAAGCGUUAAUCGGAAUUACUGGGCGUAAAGCGUGCGCAGGCGGUUAUGUAAGACAGUUGUGAAAUCCCCGGGCUCAACCUGGGAACUGCAUCUGUGACUGCAUAGCUAGAGUACGGUAGAGGGGGAUGGAAUUCCGCGUGUAGCAGUGAAAUGCGUAGAUAUGCGGAGGAACACCGAUGGCGAAGGCAAUCCCCUGGACCUGUACUGACGCUCAUGCACGAAAGCGUUGGGAGCAAACAGGAUUAGAUACCCGGGUAGUCCCAUGA